RNAcentral lists this long non-coding RNA (761 nucleotides) under Bos taurus (domestic cattle). Its description in RNAcentral is "long non-coding RNA NONBTAT025487". The record is from RNAcentral. Lineage: Eukaryota; Metazoa; Chordata; Mammalia; Artiodactyla; Bovidae.
CAUAUUUCAUUAUAAAAUGUAAGAAAAGAUUUCUCCAAAUGUUGGUAGUUGAGAAUUCCUAGUGUAUAGGGUGACAGUCAUAUAAUUCUGAAAAUCUUUGGCAAUUGUUCUCUGUCUGUGAACAUUCACAUACCUCAUGCUGUUGCCAGAAUCAUAAAUUCUUUGAACCAGAAGCAAAUGAAUUUUAGAAAAUGAAGUAUAAAUUAGGGACAAACGGAGUUAGAGAAACCUAUUAUUGUUAUAGGAUUGUUUAUAGCUAACUUUCCCUUAAAGUUUUAGCACUUGUGUGAGGACUUUAUCUAAACAAUCUUCUAAGCUCUCUUGAAAUUUUAGCUAAGGAGUAUUAUUGGUGACCUUGGAGAAUCUGAGCUCUAAACUGUGAAACAGGGCACACUGUCUCCAAAUCAGAGGCUCAGAAGAACAGUGACUCCUGAAAGGAGGGCAAGGCAUUUUCUUCCUCCUCACUGCCUCUUAACCUCCCGUCCUCCAGGAGGAGUUCUGAGACUGUCGAUAGUCAUCAUAGCUCAUGGGUCCAAACCUUCCUACUGCAAAGAAUUCUCAUUAUUUCAAGGGCUUUUUAAUCACUAAACAGUAGAAGACAAUUACUGUAUAGAUCGGUUUAAUUAGUUUAUUUGAUGCCCAGAGCAUGUAAAUUUGCAACCAGGUAGCUUCUGCCAGCUAUAGAAUCAUAAAUUAAUGGCAGUGUUCUGGAUGAGAAAGAUGAUGCUCUGCGCAUGCUAACCCCUUAGAAUGAUUUUAAU